Non-coding RNA from Heterocephalus glaber (naked mole-rat), 5629 nucleotides. The record is from RefSeq and is a predicted model, not a curated record. NCBI's taxonomy places the organism in Eukaryota, Metazoa, Chordata, Mammalia, Rodentia, Bathyergidae.
CAGGAAGAUACCUAGAAGGGGAAUAACUGGGUCAAAUGGAAUUUCGAGUUUUAGGGUUUUGAGGACUCUCCACGCUGAUUUCCAUAGUGGUUGUACUAGUUUAUGCUCCCACCAGCAAUGGACUGUGUUUAGCUUUUGUGGCCCAGGUGUUUCCUAUAAUCAGCACAUUUGAGAAACCCUAAGUUAGAAUCCUCAACAGGUUACUACCCAGAUGCAGUGAGGGCAUAGCGCUCUUGUUCUGGUCCUGUUGUCAUCUGUGGAGAGCUUGCUAUUGUGUGACACGAUGCUAGCAGCUUGGGGGCCCCUAAUAGACUGGGACAAGUACCAUCUCCAUUUCUUUUCCUACUGAAGAAACGUCACCCCUAAGCCAGCUAUGAAAACUCCAGACUUACACACCAAUUCUCUCACCAACCCACUUGGUUUAUUCCCCACAGUUUUCUCGAGCACAGCCUGUGGGUGAGACAUGCACAAGCCAGCGAGGACCUGCAGGGCACAAGACAAGCCCAGCUCACUGCAGUGAGGGGGACACACACACAAGUGGCCCCCAACAGGUGUGGACGGCCUAAACCCCGAACCUCAGAACAUCAGUGUAUGUGGAGCCAGGUCUUCAGAGAGACGAUCGUCCUCAAGUGUGGUCACAGGGAUGGACCUGAAUUCAGUACAGCUGUGGCCUUCUAAGAAGAGGACAUUUGGCAAACGUACACAGAGCUGUCACUUCGGGAACACAUGGGAGGAGACUGCGUCCAUGUGCAGGGAGAGGUCUCAGAAGGAACCAGCCCUGAGUGCACUUUGACUUCGGACUCCUCUUCUCCAGGAGUGUGGGAAAAUACCUCUCCACUGGGGAAGCCGCCAGCCUGUGGGCCUUGCAGAGGAACGCAGCCGGGAAGCAUCAGAAUAUUGUCUCGGUGAUUUUUACAAUACUGAAGCCAGGCUCGGUGCCCACACCUGUAAUCCCAGCAGCUGGGGAGGCUGAAGCAGGAGGAUCGCAAGUUUGAGGACAGCCUGGACAAUAGCCCUGCCUUGAAAUAAAAGUGGAAAGGGCUGGGUAUUCGGCUCAGGAUAGAGCAUCCCGGCACAUGCAGGGGCAGAGGCGUCCCUCCUGGGGACACACGGCUGCCACCGACCUGCUUCCUUGUCAAUCAUUUAUUCUUUUUCUUGCACAAACCACACGUGUGACGAAGUCCUGGCACGCACUGCCCUGUGCCUGGCCUUUGUGUGUGACAGAGCAUCCGGUAGAUGCUGCAGGACAGACUAAGAAAGCAGCUUUAGAAAGUCAGGGCAACAGCCAGUGGUGGGCAGGCGAGUCACCAGCGGGGCGUUGGAGGAAAGCUUGGAAAAGUAUUUUAGGCUGCUGUGUUAGGAGGGGCAGGAGGAGAGGCCGGGCUCCUGGAGGUGACCCUGGGCUCCUUGCCCCACCACCGAAGUAGGUCACUGUGAGCACAGGGAGGCGCCGCGCUGUGUGGGAGGCACGGAUCUGGCGGGGCUGCGAUGCCAUCUGUGACUGCAGACUCCCAGGUUGCUGGUGGGGAGAGCGGCUUGUCUAAGCGCCUGGCCUUACAGAUGGUGAAGCUGAGCCCAGAGGCAGAGGGACUGUUCCUGAGGUCACUAGCCAGGUGGGGACGGAGCAGGGACCUGAGCCUGCGAGUCCCACCUUUUGGCUGCAGCCCUUUUAAGGGUGCCAGGUUGCCUGAAAAGUUGUAUCUGGAUGCCCAGAUUUUACUCUGCCUUUUUCUUCCUGCCUUGUGUAUCUAUCGCCCCUCUGCAAUUGAAAAUAAGAGCAUAGACACUGGGCUGUGGUACUGGCUUUGCUCUCCACCCCUUAGGGCUUUGACAGGGCAGCUGUGACCACAGGGCAGUACAGUCCACCUUGUAGAGGAUGGAUUGGUGGUGGUCUUGGAGUUGUGCAGUGCACGGCCUGCGAAACUGUACCUAGCAGUCCUGGCUGUGAAGGGCUAAGUGACAUCAUGCCAUCAUGCCUGUCAAUCCAUUAGCAUAUGAAGAGAUCAUCAAAUGUUGGCCAUUAUUAUCUGCAUUUUUUGAUUUGUUUUGAGACAGGGUCUUGCUGUGUAGUCCACACUGGACUUGAGCUCAUUAUGUAGCCCAAGCUGUCCUCAAACUUGUAGUGAUCCUCUUGCCUCAGCUUUCCGAGUGUUGAGAUUACAGGUGUGCACUACCAUGCCUGGCUAUUAUUAUCUUUAUUUUUUUUUGUUAUCAUGAAGAACCGGCUGUCUUAUCUUUUUUUUUUUGGUACCGGGGAUCGAACCCGGGUCCUUGCACUUGCACAGCAGGCAGCGAAACCACUGAGCUAAAUCCCCGGCCCAGCUGUCUUAUCUUUGAAGCAGCAAGGAAUGGAAGAGCUGAGUAGGAAAGUCAUCUUUUCAUGUUUUCUUCUGUUAUUAAAGGUAACGAGCACUCAGUACAGAAAACCUGGAAAACGCAUAAGGAGACACAAAAUGACAAAAAAUAACAAGCCCACAUCCAGAACCACCCUUUUGACAUAUGGUGUAUGUUUUUCCAGGCUUUCAUUCCCUGUUUGUCUCUUUCACACAUUAGGAAAUUUUGCUUUCCUGUGGGAAGUCUGGCCUCCGCCCUCAGCUUUGAGGAGAGGACCCAGCACAGUGACCAAGAACAUGAAUUCUAUGUCUCCAUCACCUAGUUUCACAUGCCAGCUCUCACCUGCCUGCUGUGUGACCUUGGGCAAGACAGGGACAGGGACGGCCCCAGCACCAGGCAGCUGCAUCCUGGUCCGUCUUGGGCACACCUGCCCGUUCGACCGGGAUCUGGAGCCAGCCCCAAGUACUGACAGGCAGGCGGCUGGGCACCCUGGAUCACAGGGACCUGAUGAGGACAAGAGGCAGAACUUGAAGCACUGAUCCACUUGUCUGAGCCCUCAGAUGGAGACCAGAGAGAUUGGGCUGGGCAUGGCCGAGAUCCCAUUGCCCACCUCUGUAGCCUCCACCCCAGCCCUGACAUCAGGCAGAAUCUGCAGAGACCAAGGAGGUAUCUUUCUCUUCCAUCUCUCUCUGCUUCUGGUUUGCCAUGCCAUGAGCAGCUGUCCUCUCACCAUGCAUUGCUGCAUUUAAACCUACUGACCAUGGACUGAAACUUCUGAAACUGUGAGCCUAAAUAAACUUCUUUAAAUUGCAGAUAUUGGGCAUUUUGUUCUAGUGAUGAGGAAAGUGACUAACACAGUUGAAUUCUUGAACAACUCUUAAAUAAAAAAAUGCACCUUUUGAACUGAAUAUACACAAGAAAUACUGUGUUAAAUUCUGGGAUUUGAGAGUUAACAUGUUUCUGCCAUCACGAAUACAAAUGAAGUGGGGCUUUGUGGUCCAGGUGAAGGAGCUUGGACUUGAUUUUUAUAGAUGGCUGGACUUAUGGGGGUCUUAACUGCAAGCAAAAGGAACAGCUCUAGAAGAUGUAGUUGUCUCUUGGUGUCCAUGAGGAAUGGGCUCGGGGACCCCCAUGGAUACCAAGGUCCAUGGGUGCCCACAUCCUUUAUAUAAAGUGGUGUAGCAUUUUCACAGAACCUACACACAUUCUCCUGUGGACUUUAAAUCAUCUCAGAUUGCUUAUGGUGCCCUCCACAAUGUAAAUGCCAUGUAAAUAGUGUUAUAGUGUGUUGUAGUCUCUGUAAUAAUAACAAGAGAAAAAAGUCUGUAUGUGUUCAGUACAGGUGCAAUUUUUUCCUAAGUAUUUUCAGUGGUUGGCUGAAUCACGAAGGCAGAAGCCACAUACGGAAGGCUGAUUAUAUCAACAAGAAAGGAAUGAACUAAAAGGACACUGGGUAGCUCUUGAAUGGCCAGCAAGACCAGGAGCUGGGACUGCUCAAUGGAAAGCUGCAAAAGGAGAAUACACAGCCAGAGCCCCAGCAUCCCUCUGUGAUGCUCCUCUGCCACGCCGGCCUGCCUUGGAGCCAGCCAACUAUAGACCGAAACCUCUACAAACUGUCCAUAUCAGGAGGUCUGCGGUGGAAGGCUGAAGGAUCUAUGCUGGAAGCUGAAGAGUUUGAGCUGGAAGCCAGGAGAUGACUUCCAAGGUGAAAAAACUGGAGCAGGACAUCAAGAACCUGGAAAGAAGCCCCAUAGGACUUAGCACCUGGUAACAACUCUGACGGGGUCCAGAUCUGUGGUCUUACCUACAGAAACAGUUGAAAGUACCUGGCCUUCCUGUGUCAGUGGAUGAGCUCCAAGCACCCUGAGGCCCUACCACUCCUGGGCCCCCAGCCACAUCCUUGAAGGAUAGUGUGACGUCACUGCCCCGUGACCAAGCAAGGCCAGGCUGCUCUUGGCCACCUCAAGGUUGCCAUGGGAUCCCACUGCUCCAAAAGAAAAUGCAGAUGGUGGUUCUGGGUGGCCUCAAGAUUGUGUGCCAGGUGACUACAAGAAAGUUAGUCCUUCCGGUUCACCUGGCCCAAGAGGUUGGCUGAAAUUACCAGGCAGUGGCAGCCACCUACUGCUGGAAGAGAAAACAGCUUGUGAGGCUACAAAAAUGCAGAAAAAAACAGGGGAAGAAAACUGACAAAUACAGAGAGGCCCUGCAGACCAUAGAUUCCUGCUCUGAGCCCAGUAAAGGUUGUUUAUUCUUAAAAAACUUAAAAUUAAAAAAUAAUAAAAAUAUCAAGAUCAUCCAGAAGAGACUGGAGGUAGGGAUCAAGUCCAGGCACAAAGCCAGGAAUUCAGACCGGAAGACAGGCUGGGUAGGGUGAGUUAGGAUCAGGUAGCAGUGGGACCAGCUCCCCUGAGGACCACCCAGCAUACAGGCAACUGUUUCAAGCUUGGUUUUAAGGUCUGGCAGGAAGGCGGAAAGCAGCUGGAUGGCCAGUCACAGGUUCAGAGGUGGCUCUGCCAUGGCCCAGUGCAAAAGGCAUGCCCUGAACCCUUAAUGCAAACUGAAUCGAACCACAGUUAUAGAUUGCAUAUUUAGAACUACAGUGGAAUUUUCCAGGAGCAGUCAGAGCCAGAGAGCUCCGUGCAAGUAGACAAAAAUCUGCUAAUCCUUGGUAUCAGAGGUCUUGGGAAAUAAAGAACAUAUUUACAAAGAUGAUUCGAGGUCUUUAUUUCUUAUGCAUCUUCUGAUUUUUUUUCUUGUUUUGCUAAACUAGGUCCUGCCAUGUAAUCUAGGCUGGCCUUGAGUGCACUAUGCAGCCCAGGCUGACCUUGAACUCAUAGCACUCCUCCUGCCUUAGACUCCUAAGCACUGGGAUGACAGGCAUGCACCACUGCGCCUGGCUAGAGAUGAAGAAGGUGACUUUUAUGGUCACACUGGGGAGGUCAGAGGUCUGGGACCCUGGGUCUGCUCUGCACAGCCACCCAGCUGUCACCCACACUCUCUUUUGAGCAUGUGCAAGUUGCCCUUCCUAUGCUUGCUGCUUGCCAGACCCUGGGAGAAGCACUGUUUGUGCAGCAUCCUUUUAACCUCUGAGGUCACACCUGUGAGUAUUCCCACUGGACCGAUGGGGACAUCGAGGGUCUCGGAGUUAAGUCAAAUGUCAAAGUCACACUGCUACCCAAAGUGAUUAGGAAUGUGAACACCAGAGGCUUGUGGUGGCUCCUCCUAUUUUCCUGUCUCCAAUCUGCUUUUAACUUUCUCUGGUGCCAACUUCUAUUACUCACUUCUCCACACGAGC